UCCCAAGUUGACUUUCAUGUUUUUCAUGUUUUUCACCAAAUCUUUCAAGGGUUUUAAGAGUUUUGGUGUGUUUUGAAGGUUUUGAGCAAAACUAGUAAGUUUGGAAGUUUGGAGCUUUGGAAGAGGUUUUCUUCAUAUCUCCACGUUAGGAUCACUUGAUCUCUUGUUUGGAAGAGGUAAGUCAAGAUCCAGAACCUCUUUUACUGAUUUUUGAAGGUUUUAUGGGAGUUGUAUGGAUAGUAUGCAUGAAUAGGGUUUUGGUUGAGGUUUUGCAUGAUUUUGUGUUUCAGCAUGUUUAAGUGUUGUUUGUAUGUUUCUUGGGGUUAUAAGUGAGUUUUAGGCCCUUUUAUGCAUGUUUUAUGGUAUGUGCUAGUUGGGAGUAGUUGAUAUGCAUGUUGGGUAAGUUUGGGGGAAAGGUUUGCAUGAAACAGAGCAGGGUUCUGCCCAGCGGGCAAAACCAGGUUCGGCCGCCG
RNAcentral lists this long non-coding RNA (473 nucleotides) under Manihot esculenta (cassava). RNAcentral describes it as "long non-coding RNA (MESC_LNC007026)". The record is from RNAcentral. Lineage: Eukaryota; Viridiplantae; Streptophyta; Magnoliopsida; Malpighiales; Euphorbiaceae.